This 245-nucleotide ribosomal RNA is filed under the name uncultured bacterium. Its description in RNAcentral is "partial 16S ribosomal RNA". It matches the Rfam family "Bacterial small subunit ribosomal RNA", at positions 527 to 772 of the family's 1533-position model. The record is from RNAcentral.
GUAGGGAGCGAGCGUUAUCCGGAAUUAUUGGGUGUAAAGCGUGUGUAGGCGGUUAAAUAAGUCUAAGGUUUAAGCCCGGAGCUCAACUCCGGAUCGCCUUAGAAACUGUAUAACUUGAGUAUGGUAGAGGUAAACGGAAUUUCUAGUGUAGCGGUAAAAUGCGUAGAUAUUAGAAGGAACACCAGUGGCGAAGGCGGUUUACUGGGCCACUACUGACGCUGAGACACGAAAGCGUGGGGAGCAAA